This 1322-nucleotide long non-coding RNA is filed under the name Neogobius melanostomus (round goby). Its description in RNAcentral is "lncRNA (ENSNMLG00000025503.1)". Lineage: Eukaryota; Metazoa; Chordata; Actinopteri; Gobiiformes; Gobiidae. The record is from RNAcentral.
CACGACGCAUGCGCACUGGUCACGCCUCCUCAAGAAAACACACUGAGAGUAGGUGGAUUUUACGCCGAACAAUAGCUUUUAAAGUAAUCUCUAAUAUCGUUUUAGCUUUAUUGUGGUAAAGUGAACAAUGCCUGAGAAUGUCGUUUGGAAGACAAAGCUGGAUUCUCUCCUGGGACUAGCUUGUUAGGCUUGUUACCAAACCUUCCUUGUGUAACAACGCGUGUGUUACGGGUGUUGAGCUUGGCAAUUAUAAACUCCCCUGUCAGUGGAAGAGCUUAACUGGAGCUACAUUUUGCUACGUUUUCUUUAACAAGCGACAAAAAUGAGUCUAGCACGGCUAUGUCGUAGCUCAGGUUCGGCAAUAAGAGCGAUCCCGGGUUGUGCAAACAGGCUGCAGCUCAUCAGGACCAACCACACCAGUCCCAUUACUACACCGUCACGUGUUAAAGUUCUGUAUGAUGGGCUGUGUCCCAUAUGUGUCACUGAGAUACGGUGUCUGCAGUUUCUGCAGAGAAAACGUCCCGACAAAGUGGAUUUUGUUGAUAUCUCUCUCCCUGGAUAUGAUGGUGCAAAGUACAAUGACGUGAGCUACGAGAUGGCAAUGGAGGAAAUGCAUGUCAUAGAUGAGGAAAAUACGGUCCAUCGUGGAGUCCCUGCCUUCUCUGUCAUGUACUCUGCAGUGGGACUCGGGUGGUUGGGGCGCCUCCUCAUGUGGCCACCUAUGAGACCAUGGAUGAAUAAAUCCUAUGACAUUUUUGCCAGAAACCGUUUAAAAUGGACUGGACGUGGAAAUGAGUGUACCAAUGGACGCUGUGAAAAGAAGUCAAGCUGAACUGAAUGUUGUUGAACGUGUAUUUGGUACAACACCUGGACUGACAAGUGCUUUAUCAAUCAUUGUGACAAAUUUGCUCCUUGCGUGUUGUGAAAUUGUUAUAUAUAUUUGACUUUACGUAUAAAUCAGCUGCGGGUGUAAUGGAAAUUGGAAGUGCAAUAUAAAUAUUACCAGAACUACAAACGUGUGGAAUUUUUUCCAUUAUUAGAAAUACUUGACCUGACUAACUGGAAAAUCACUGAACAGUUUCAUAGUGUUAGUAACAAGAUAGAUGAAGGGAAUUCCAAAGUUGUGUUCAUGACAGUAGUUUCCCCUAUUGCCACUAGAUGUCCUUGUAAGACCAACAUGACUGCAUCAAAUGUCCUGACAGGUCAUUUUGUGUGCCCAUGUUUCCAUGUUUGUGUACUCAUACAUAUAGUUACACCAGUCCUGUUUGAAGCUGUUAGUGUGUUUACAUUUCUGUUGACACCUCUUCCUAAUUAUAGUCCAG